AACGGAGAGUUUGAUCCUGGCUCAGGAUGAACGCUGGCGGCGUGCUUAACACAUGCAAGUCGAACGGACCUUCGGGUUAGUGGCGGACGGGUGAGUAACGCGUGGGAAUCUGCCCUCAGGAGGGGGACAACAGCUGGAAACGGCUGCUAAUACCCCAUAUGCCGAGAGGUGAAAUGAAAUUCGCCUGAGGAUGAGCCCGCGUCUGAUUAGCUAGUUGGUGUGGUAAAGGCUCACCAAGGCAUCGAUCAGUAGCUGGUCUGAGAGGAUGAUCAGCCACACUGGGACUGAGACACGGCCCAGACUCCUACGGGAGGCAGCAGUGGGGAAUUUUCCGCAAUGGGCGCAAGCCUGACGGAGCAACGCCGCGUGAGGGACGAAGGCCUCUGGGCUGUAAACCUCUUUUCUCAAGGAAGAAGACAUGACGGUACUUGAGGAAUAAGCCACGGCUAAUUCCGUGCCAGCAGCCGCGGUAAUACGGGAGUGGCAAGCGUUAUCCGGAAUUAUUGGGCGUAAAGCGUCCGCAGGCGGCCCAGAAAGUCUGUUGUUAAAAAGUGGAGCUCAACUCCAUCCAGGCAAUGGAAACUACUGGGCUAGAGUGUGGUAGGGGCAGAGGGAAUUCCCGGUGUAGCGGUGAAAUGCGUAGAUAUCGGGAAGAACACCAGUGGCGAAGGCGCUCUGCUGGGCCAUAACUGACGCUCAUGGACGAAAGCCAGGGGAGCGAAAGGGAUUAGAUACCCCUGUAGUCCUGGCCGUAAACGAUGAACACUAGGUGUCGGGGGAAUCGACCCCCUCGGUGUCGUAGCCAACGCGUUAAGUGUUCCGCCUGGGGAGUACGCACGCAAGUGUGAAACUCAAAGGAAUUGACGGGGGCCCGCACAAGCGGUGGAGUAUGUGGUUUAAUUCGAUGCAACGCGAAGAACCUUACCAGGGCUUGACAUCCUGCGAACCCCUGAGAGAUCGGGGGGUGCCUUCGGGAACGCAGUGACAGGUGGUGCAUGGCUGUCGUCAGCUCGUGUCGUGAGAUGUUGGGUUAAGUCCCGCAACGAGCGCAACCCACGUCUUUAGUUGCCAGCAUUCAGUUGGGCACUCUAGAGAGACCGCCGGUGAUAAACCGGAGGAAGGUGUGGAUGACGUCAAGUCAUCAUGCCCCUUACGUCCUGGGCUACACACGUACUACAAUGCUACGGACAAAGGGCAGCAAACUCGCGAGAGCUAGCAAAUCCCAUAAACCGUGGCUCAGUUCAGAUCGUAGGCUGCAACUCGCCUACGUGAAGGAGGAAUCGCUAGUAAUCGCAGGUCAGCAUACUGCGGUGAAUACGUUCCCGGGCCUUGUACACACCGCCCGUCACACCAUGGAAGUUGGCCAUGCCCGAAGUCGUUACUCCAACCCGUAAGGGAGGAGGACGCCGAAGGUGGGGCUGAUGACUGGGGUGAAGUCGUAACAAGGUAGCCGUACCGGAAGGUGCGGCUGGAUCACCUCCUAA
Molecule: ribosomal RNA, 1484 nt
Filed under: Cyanobium sp.
Lineage: Bacteria; Bacillati; Cyanobacteriota; Cyanophyceae; Synechococcales; Prochlorococcaceae
Description: bacterial SSU rRNA
Rfam family: Bacterial small subunit ribosomal RNA
Source: RNAcentral